UAGGGAAUCUUCCACAAUGGGCGAAAGCCUGAUGGAGCAACGCCGCGUGUGUGAUGAAGGCUUUCGGGUCGUAAAGCACUGUUGUAUGGGAAGAACAGCUAGAAUAGGAAAUGAUUUUAGUUUGACGGUACCAUACCAGAAAGGGACGGCUAAAUACGUGCCG
Molecule: ribosomal RNA, 163 nt
Filed under: uncultured bacterium
Lineage: Bacteria
Description: partial 16S ribosomal RNA
Rfam family: Bacterial small subunit ribosomal RNA
Source: RNAcentral